GUGACUCAGUGAAUACAAGAGGCUUAGUUAUGGGUGGAGCAAGCAAGCCAAGGGACUAAGGGAGUAGUGCUAGUGGCCGGAGGCGAAGCAAGCAAGGGAGGUUGGGACUGAGAGGUGAAAAUAAAAAUACAAUUUCAAUAAUAAAAAAAGAAGAAGAAAAAGUAAAGCAAUACGUUUGAAGAAGUAAAACAACAUGCCCAUAACAUAACGAAUAAGAAACACAUAAAUAACAUAACCCAACAAAGAAGAAAAAGCUAAAUAGGAAUAUUUCAUGAUGUGUAAUAGGAGAUGACUAGCACUUCGAAUUUAAAGGAAUUUAUGUUAUUUGGUUUCAUAGUUUAGGGAUUCAUCAGCUGACAGUUGGUCUAGAUCAUUGGUCCAGAUACAACUUCACGAAUGAGUUUCUAUUUGGUUUCAAUGAUUUUUAACUUGUCUUCAUUGUCUUGCUCUGGUUAGCUUUGUUACGGAAAAAAGUUUGCAUUUAACUAGAAACUCAUGGUGUCAGGGUUUAUUCCAAGAAAUCCACUAAUUACUUCUUCAACUAUGUUUGUAGGUACCACUGAAAACACAUGAAAAGAAGUCUAUCUUAAAGUUUUUCUCAACAAUGAAAGUUAAAAAGGAACAAGAAUCAAACAUGGAACAAAGUGUGUGCGAUGAAUAUGUCAAAAAAAAUUUGCUGAAUAACUUAAAGGAGGAACCUAAAAGCAGAGAUGAUAGACUUGCAUCCUUAACAGAUAAAACCGUUCACCUCUUUUAGUAAGCAAUUCACCAUUCACUUUAGCAUACUUUAAAUGACAACACAAUCAGUCGCUCGCAAAAUAAAACCAAUCAAAUGCAUUGCAAAUAACUUCAAUUAACAUCAAGUGCUUUCUUUUACACAACAAAUCAAUAAGAACAACAGAAGAACACAUGCAACCUCAAAUCCCCCUUAAAAACGCUUCUUUUCCUUUGAUUAAUUAAUGCUUUUAACAAUUUAAACCCAAAAUGAAACAACUUCCAAUUCCCUGUUAGAACGAACCAACAAAGCCUAUAUACUUAAUCAUGAAGUAAAGAAAAAAAAAGAAAUCACCCACUAAUAAAAAACAUAAAGGUCUUUUUUUUAAAAUGGUGCAAUAUAAAACCAAAAGAGCUAAAAACCUCAGUAAAUGAAUGAUAUUAAGUUAUUAACAUACAAGGAAAAUGAUCAUAGUUUAUAUGAAGAAAAAAUACCUGAAACUAGGUUAAAAUUUCUGGGUCUGUUACAGAAAACAAAGAAAGAAAGGAGAAGCCUUUGUAAAUUUUUACUUAGAGAGAGAAAAACAGAAGCAGCUCUCUUCUGGCCUUUCUCUAUGGCAUGCUCGAGAAGAAUUUGGGGCUACUGGCCGAAGGCGAAGCAAGCAAUGAAGGAGAUAAAGGAAAGACAAAUAAGGGGACAGAGGGCAAAUUAGGGCGUGAAAACUAAAACGGAUGUAAACUGAGGAGAAGGCAGGGAUUAGAAAACAGAGAAUUUCGGGGAUU
This 1497-nucleotide long non-coding RNA is filed under the name Gossypium barbadense (sea-island cotton). Its description in RNAcentral is "long non-coding RNA (GBAR_LNC018900)". Lineage: Eukaryota; Viridiplantae; Streptophyta; Magnoliopsida; Malvales; Malvaceae. The record is from RNAcentral.